Non-coding RNA from Pelobates cultripes (western spadefoot toad), 181 nucleotides. The record is from the annotation of a GenBank genome assembly. Lineage: Eukaryota; Metazoa; Chordata; Amphibia; Anura; Pelobatidae.
GCUGACACGUCCCGGACAAUCUCCAGCAGACCCUCCCUCCCUGGACCCUCCUACUUCCUACUUCCUCCCUCCCAGACCCUCCUACUUCCUGGACAGCAUCCAUGUUUCAACAUGGAUGCUGUUCAGGAAGUAGGAGGGUCUGGGAGGGAGGGUCUGCUGGAGAUUGGCCGGGACGUGUCAG